GCGCGAGUGCUGGAAUUGGCAGACAGGCACGUUUGAGGGGCGUGUGAGUUUUCUCGUACGAGUUCAAGUCUCGUCUCGCGCACCA
Molecule: transfer RNA, 85 nt
Filed under: Oscillospiraceae bacterium
Lineage: Bacteria; Bacillati; Bacillota; Clostridia; Eubacteriales; Oscillospiraceae
Description: tRNA-Leu
Source: RNAcentral